This 24-nucleotide non-coding RNA is filed under the name Mus musculus (house mouse). The record is from RNAcentral. Lineage: Eukaryota; Metazoa; Chordata; Mammalia; Rodentia; Muridae.
UGGUAUGCAUGAAACCCAGGGUUC